GGAAAAGAAACCAACUGGGAUUACCUUAGUAACGGCGAGUGAAGCGGUAAAAGCUCAAAUUUGAAAUCUGGUACUUUCAGUGCCCGAGUUGUAAUUUGUAGAAUUUGUCUUUGAUUAGGUCCUUGUCUAUGUUCCUUGGAACAGGACGUCAUAGAGGGUGAGAAUCCCGUUUGGCGAGGAUACCUUUUCUCUGUAAGACUUUUUCGAAGAGUCGAGUUGUUUGGGAAUGCAGCUCAAAGUGGGUGGUAAAUUCCAUCUAAAGCUAAAUAUUGGCGAGAGACCGAUAGCGAACAAGUACAGUGAUGGAAAGAUGAAAAGAACUUUGAAAAGAGAGUGAAAAAGUACGUGAAAUUGUUGAAAGGGAAGGGCAUUUGAUCAGACAUGGUGUUUUUUGCAUGCACUUGCCUCUCGUGGGCUUGGGCCUCUCAAAAAUUUCACUGGGCCAACAUCAAUUCUGGCAGUAGGAUAAAUCAUUAAGAAUGUAGCUACCUCGGUAGUGUUAUAGCUUAUUGGAAUACUGCUAGCUGGGAUUGAGGACUGCGCUUCGGCAAGGAUGUU
Molecule: ribosomal RNA, 558 nt
Filed under: Hanseniaspora opuntiae
Lineage: Eukaryota; Fungi; Ascomycota; Saccharomycetes; Saccharomycodales; Saccharomycodaceae
Description: LSU rRNA
Rfam family: Eukaryotic large subunit ribosomal RNA
Source: RNAcentral